This 1050-nucleotide ribosomal RNA is filed under the name uncultured bacterium. Its description in RNAcentral is "bacterial SSU rRNA". It matches the Rfam family "Bacterial small subunit ribosomal RNA", at positions 8 to 1064 of the family's 1533-position model. The record is from RNAcentral.
AGAGUUUGAUCCUGGCUCAGGGUGAACGCUGGCGGCGCGCUUAAUGCAUGCAAGUCGAGCGUGAUCGUGGCUUCGGCCACAAUGAUAAAGCGGCAGACGGCUGAGUAACGCGUGAGUAAUCUGCCCUCCGGUGGGGUAUAACCUGGGGAAACUGAGGAUAAUCCCGCAUACGACCUGCAUCCCUUGGGAUGCAGAUGAAAGGCUUCGGUCGCCGGAGGAGGAGCUCGCGUCCUAUCAGGUUGUUGGUGGGGUAAUGGCCCACCAAGCCGAUGACGGGUAGCUGGUCUGAGAGGAUGACCAGCCAGAGGGGGACUGAGAACGGCCCCCACUCCUACGGGAGGCAGCAGCAGGGAAUCUUGGGCAAUGGGCGAAAGCCUGACCCAGCGACGUCGCGUGGGGGACGAAGGCCUUAGGGUUGUAAACCCCUUUUCCGAGGGAAGAUACAGGACGGUACCUCGGGAAUAAGCCCCGGCUAACUACGUGCCAGCAGCCGCGGUAAUACGUAGGGGGCAAGCGUUACCCGGAAUCACUGGGCGUAAAGUGCGCGUAGGCGGUUGGAUAAGUCUCUUGUGAAAGCUCCCGGCUCAACUGGGAGAGGUCAAGGGAUACUAUUUGACUAGAGGACAGCAGAGGUAAGCAGAAUUCCCGGUGUAGCGGUGGAAUGCGUAGAUAUCGGGAGGAACACCAGUGGCGAAAGCGGCUUACUGGGCUGUAUCUGACGCUGAGGCGCGAGGGCGUGGGGAGCAAACUGGAUUAGAUACCCAGGUAGUCCACGCCCUAAACGAUGGAUACUAGGUAUGGGGGGUAUUGACCCCCUCCGUGCCGUAGCUAACGCGUUAAGUAUCCCGCCUGGGGACUACGGCCGCAAGGCUAAAACUCAAAGGAAUUGACGGGGGCCCGCACAAGCGGUGGAGCGUGUGGUUUAAUUCGAUGCUAAGCGAAGAACCUUACCUGGGCUUGACAUGUUGGUAGUAGGAACCCGAAAGGGUAACGACCUCGGGGUAACUCGGGGAGCCUUCACAGGUGCUGCAUGGCUGUCGUCAGCUCGUG